RNAcentral lists this ribosomal RNA (79 nucleotides) under Shigella sonnei. Its description in RNAcentral is "partial 16S ribosomal RNA". The record is from RNAcentral. Lineage: Bacteria; Pseudomonadati; Pseudomonadota; Gammaproteobacteria; Enterobacterales; Enterobacteriaceae.
GAUUAGUGGCUGGGUGAAAUUGUAACAAGGUAACCGUAGGGGAACCUGCGGUUGGAUCACCUCCUUACCUUAAAGAAGC